RNAcentral lists this ribosomal RNA (254 nucleotides) under uncultured bacterium. RNAcentral's name for it is "partial 16S ribosomal RNA". It matches the Rfam family "Bacterial small subunit ribosomal RNA", at positions 79 to 334 of the family's 1533-position model. The record is from RNAcentral.
CUAAGUUUGAUGGCGACCGGCGCACGGGUGAGUAACACGUAUCCAACCUGCCGAUGACUCGGGGAUAGCCUUUCGAAAGAAAGAUUAAUACCCGAUGGCAUAGUUCUUCCGCAUGGUAGAACUAUUAAAGAAUUUCGGUCAUCGAUGGGGAUGCGUUCCAUUAGGUUGUUGGCGGGGUAACGGCCCACCAAGCCUUCGAUGGAUAGGGGUUCUGAGAGGAAGGUCCCCCACAUUGGAACUGAAACACGGUCCAA